ACAAGGGUAAGCAGAUAAAUAAUAUUAAAUCAUAAAGUAAAUAAACGAUUAUACUACAGUCUACCAGCUGCUAUGGAAUUACUACCAUAUAAAACGAGUCGCGUUUAUGCUUCACGUGACUAUUAAUCAGAUUCUUCCAGCGUCCCUUAGCAUGUAUGUCCACGCUGAGGGCAAUUCAGCCACAGGUCUAUCAUUAACAAGAUUGUGUCUCCCUUGUCUAAUUAAAAUCUCCACUGUCUCCUGUGUUAUGGCUUGCCCCGGUUUGACGAUUGGUAUUGGUGCUUUCGCUUUGUCCCGUUCUACAGCUGUGUCGGCGGUGUGGGCCUGUUCCGCCAGGGCCGUUGA
RNAcentral lists this long non-coding RNA (345 nucleotides) under Androctonus crassicauda. The record is from RNAcentral. Lineage: Eukaryota; Metazoa; Arthropoda; Arachnida; Scorpiones; Buthidae.